This 600-nucleotide long non-coding RNA is filed under the name Mytilus galloprovincialis (Mediterranean mussel). Lineage: Eukaryota; Metazoa; Mollusca; Bivalvia; Mytilida; Mytilidae. The record is from RNAcentral.
GGGGCAGGUACAUUUAAUUCAUUGAUCAACAUGUUUCGGUUCCUAAGGCAUGAAUAUGACGAUAACACUGAAUAGCAGGCACUAGACAGAAUAUCUAAGAGAAUGAUAAGUUAUCAUAAGCUAGCUAGGGGAAGCCAAUCUUCAAACUAGAUAUAUAUAUAUAUAUUUUUUUAAUUUUUAACAAAUCUGUGCAUAAUAUCAAUGCAAUACUGGCAAUUACUGAAACCAUUGUAAACUUAUAAUCAAAAAGCUAUAAUUGUAUUAUGGUAAUGCAUGUGUCUAUUCAUUGAUUCACCUCUUCAUCUCACAUGGUGCAUGUUCAUGGUUUGCCUUACUUACAAAUUCUUCAACAUUGCAUAAUUAUAUUAUGCUAAUGCAACAAGCCUCAUGUGUCUAUUCAUUGAUUCAUCUCUGUUCGUCUCACAUGGUGCAUGUUCAUGGUUUGUGUAACUGAGUCUUUUUUAGACGAAAUGCGGAGGAAAAUCUAAUCGGAAAGUCCAUAAUCACAUGGCGAAAUUAAAUGACAAAACACAUCAAAAACGAAUGAGGUAUGUCCCUUAUGAAGAUAGUAUUUGUGAAAGAAAAACGCCAAUACACUAA